Molecule: transfer-messenger RNA, 386 nt
Filed under: Methylococcales bacterium
Lineage: Bacteria; Pseudomonadati; Pseudomonadota; Gammaproteobacteria; Methylococcales
Rfam family: transfer-messenger RNA
About the family: Bacterial tmRNA, also known as 10Sa RNA or SsrA, is named for its dual tRNA and mRNA-like properties.
Source: RNAcentral
GGGGGCGACUUGGCUUCGACGUGGGUAGCAAAACCUUGAGUGCAUGCCGAGCACAGUACCGCUCGUAAAACCUACUGACUUAAAGUAUUCGCAAACGACGAAAACUACUCAAUGGCUCUGGCUGCCUAACAACAGCCGCCAUUCUUCCGGCUGCCUGUGCUUGUGCGGGUAGAGUUUUUCUUAACGAGAAACGCCUGGAAGUCAUCCUACACAAGACCGCGCUUUAGGCUUCUGUUCGUAGCCAACGGCGUUAAAUCAAUCGAACUCGCCGGUUGUCGUCUUGGCCUGACGGGUAGCUUCCGGUUAAAUCAAAAGCUCAGGAUAAGCAUGUAGACCUUUAGGCGGAGUGCUUGCGGACGCGGGUUCAAUUCCCGCCGCCUCCACCA